AGAAUCAACGCUGGCGGCGUGCCUCAGACAUGCAAGUCGAACGCGAAAGUUCCCUUCGGGGAACGAGUAGAGUGGCGCACGGGUGAGUAACACGUAGGUAAUCUACCUUUGGAUGGGGAAUAACAACCGGAAACGGUUGCUAAUACCGCAUGAUGCAGCGGCACCUAAUGGUGACAGUUGUUAAAGCGGGGGAUCGAAAGACCUCGCGUCUGAAGAGGAGCCUGCGGCGGAUUAGCUAGUUGGUAAGGUAAUGGCUUACCAAGGCUACGAUCC
Molecule: ribosomal RNA, 273 nt
Filed under: uncultured soil bacterium
Lineage: Bacteria
Description: partial 16S ribosomal RNA
Rfam family: Bacterial small subunit ribosomal RNA
Source: RNAcentral